This 253-nucleotide ribosomal RNA is filed under the name uncultured bacterium. RNAcentral's name for it is "partial 16S ribosomal RNA". It matches the Rfam family "Bacterial small subunit ribosomal RNA", at positions 524 to 776 of the family's 1533-position model. The record is from RNAcentral.
GACGAAGGGGGCUAGCGUUGUUCGGAAUUACUGGGCGUAAAGGGUGCGUAGGCGGGUCUUUAAGUCAGGGGUGAAAUCCUGGAGCUCAACUCCAGAACUGCCUUUGAUACUGAAGAUCUUGAGUUCGGGAGAGGUGAGUGGAACUGCGAGUGUAGAGGUGAAAUUCGUAGAUAUUCGCAAGAACACCAGUGGCGAAGGCGGCUCACUGGCCCGAUACUGACGCUGAGGCACGAAAGCGUGGGGAGCAAACAGG